This 248-nucleotide ribosomal RNA is filed under the name uncultured Actinomycetes bacterium. RNAcentral describes it as "uncultured actinobacterium partial 16S ribosomal RNA". It matches the Rfam family "Bacterial small subunit ribosomal RNA", at positions 28 to 276 of the family's 1533-position model. The record is from RNAcentral. Lineage: Bacteria; Bacillati; Actinomycetota; Actinomycetes.
GACGAACGCUGGCGACGUGCUUAACACAUGCAAGUCGAGCGGUAAGGCCCUUUCGGGGGUACACGAGCGGCGAACGGGUGAGUAACACGUGGGUGACCUGCCCUUAGCUCUGGGAUAAGCCUGGGAAACUGGGUCUAAUACCGGAUAUGACCUCAUGACGCAUGUUGUGGGGUGGAAAGCCUUGUGCGGCUAGGGGAUGGGCCCGCGGCCUAUCAGCUUGUUGGUGGGGUGAUGGCCUACCAAGGCGA